GACGAACGCUGGCGGCGUGCCUAAUACAUGCAAGUCGAGCGAGCUUGCCUAGAUGAUUUUAGUGCUUGCACUAAAUGAAACUAGAUACAAGCGAGCGGCGGACGGGUGAGUAACACGUGGGUAACCUGCCCAAGAGACUGGGAUAACACCUGGAAACAGAUGCUAAAACCGGAUAGGUAGGGAUCUCGCAUGAGGACCUUAUUAAAGGGGCUACGGCCCUGAACAUGGAUGGACCUGCGGUGCAUUAGCUAGUUGGUGGGAUAACGGCCUACCAAGGCGACGAUGCAUAGCCGACCUGAGAGGGCGAACGGCCACAUUGGGACUGAGACACGGCCCAA
Molecule: ribosomal RNA, 338 nt
Filed under: uncultured bacterium
Lineage: Bacteria
Description: bacterial SSU rRNA
Rfam family: Bacterial small subunit ribosomal RNA
Source: RNAcentral